CGCAGGCGGUUUGUUAAGUUAGAGGUGAAAGCCCCGGGCUCAACCUGGGAACUGCAUUUGAAACUGGUAACUAGAGUGUGAUAGAGGGAGGUGGAAUUUCUGGUGUAGCGGUGAAAUGCGUAGAUAUCUGAAGGAAUACCGAUGGCGAAGGCAGCCUCCUGGAUCAAUACUGACGCUCAUGUACGAAAGCGUGGGGAGCAAACAGGAUUAGAUACCCUGGUAGUCCACGCCGUAAACGAUGACUACUAG
This 249-nucleotide ribosomal RNA is filed under the name uncultured bacterium. Its description in RNAcentral is "partial 16S ribosomal RNA". It matches the Rfam family "Bacterial small subunit ribosomal RNA", at positions 570 to 819 of the family's 1533-position model. The record is from RNAcentral.